This 1164-nucleotide ribosomal RNA is filed under the name uncultured organism. RNAcentral describes it as "bacterial SSU rRNA". It matches the Rfam family "Bacterial small subunit ribosomal RNA", at positions 195 to 1362 of the family's 1533-position model. The record is from RNAcentral.
AAUGAGGAAAUACUCCGGUGCUGAAGGAUGGGCUUGCACGUAAUUAGCUUGUUGGUAGGGUAAUGGCCUACCAAGGCUACGAUUACUAGCUGGUCUGAGAGGAUGGUCAGCCACACUGGGACUGAGAUACGGCCCAGACUCCUACGGGAGGCAGCAGUUAAGAAUCUUGCGCAAUGGGCGAAAGCCUGACGCAGCGACGCCGCGUGGACGAUGAAGGCCUUCGGGUUGUAAAGUCCAGUAAGCAGGGAGGAAUAAGUAGAAACUAAUAUUUUCUACGAUGACGGUACCUGCCUAAAGCCCCGGCUAACUACGUGCCAGCAGCCGCGGUAAUACGUAUGGGGCAAGCGUUGUUCGGAAUUAUUGGGCAUAAAGGGCGUCUAGGCGGGGGAUUAAGUUGGGUGUGAAAGCCACAGGCUCAACCUGUGAAUUGCACCCAAAACUGAUUCUCUUGAGUCCGGGAGAGGAGAGCGGAAUUCCAGGUGUAGCGGUGAAAUGCGUAGAUNUCUGGAAGAACACCAGUGGCGAAGGCGGCUCUCUGGCCUAGGACUGACGCUAAAGCGCGAAAGCGUGGGGAGCGAACGGGAUUAGAUACCCCGGUAGUCCACGCUGUAAACGUUGUGUACUAGGUGUAAGUGGCUUGAUCACUUGUGCCGAAGCUAACGCAUUAAGUACACCGNCUGGGGAGUACGCCCGCAAGGGUGAAACUCAAAGAAAUUGACGGGGGCCCGCACAAGCGGUGGAGCAUGUGGUUAAUUCGAUGAUACGCGAAGAACCUUACCUGGGGCUGAACUGUGCUUGACAGAUGUAGAGAUACAUCCUCCUUCGGUCAAGUAUAGAGGUUCUGCAUGGUUGUCGUCAGCUCGUGUCGUGAGAUGUUGGGUAUAGUCCCGCAACGAGCGCAACCCCUACUCCCGUUUUGCCAACAGGUUAAGCUGGGCACUCUGGGGGAACUUCCGGUGAUAAACCGGAGGAAGGUGGGGAUGACGUCAUAUCAUCACGGCCCUUAUGUCCAGGGCUACACACGUGCUACAAUGGCUGGUACAAUGAGCUGCGAUGCCGCGAGGUGGAGCUAAUCUCAAAAAACCAGUCUCAGUUCGGAUUGGAGUCUGCAACUCGACUCCAUGAAGUUGGAAUCGCUAGUAAUCGGGGAUCAGCUCGCCCCGG